GACGAACGCUGGCGGCGUGCUUAACACAUGCAAGUCGAACGUAAAGGCCCCUUUGGGGGUACUCGAGUGGCGAACGGGUGAGUAACACGUGAGUAACCUGCCCUUGACUUCGGGAUAACUUCAGGAAACUGGGGCUAAUACCGGAUAGGAAUCCUUGCUGCAUGGUGGGGGUUGGAAAGCUUCGGCGGUUUUGGAUGGACUCGCGGCUUAUCAGCUUGUUGGUGGGGUAGUGGCUUACCAAGGCUUUGACGGGUAGCCGGCCUGAGAGGGCGACCGGCCACAUUGGGACUGAGAUACGGCCCAGACUCCUACGGGAGGCAGCAGUGGGGAAUAUUGCACAAUGGGCGGAAGCCUGAUGCAGCAACGCCGCGUGCGGGAUGACGGCCUUCGGGUUGUAAACCGCUUUCAGCAGGGGCGAAGCUUGUGGUGACGGUACCUGCAGAAGAAGCACCGGCUAACUACGUG
RNAcentral lists this ribosomal RNA (465 nucleotides) under uncultured bacterium. RNAcentral describes it as "partial 16S ribosomal RNA". It matches the Rfam family "Bacterial small subunit ribosomal RNA", at positions 28 to 507 of the family's 1533-position model. The record is from RNAcentral.